AUGAACGCUGGCGGCGUGCCUAAUACAUGCAAGUCGAGCGAACGGACGAGAAGCUUGCUUCUCUGAUGUUAGCGGCGGACGGGUGAGUAACACGUGGAUAACCUACCUAUAAGACUGGGAUAACUUCGGGAAACCGGAGCUAAUACCGGAUAAUAUUUUGAACCGCAUGGUUCAAAAGUGAAAGACGGUCUUGCUGUCACUUAUAGAUGGAUCCGCGCUGCAUUAGCUAGUUGGUAAGGUAACGGCUUACCAAGGCAACGAUGCAUAGCCGACCUGAGAGGGUGAUCGGCCACACUGGAACUGAGACACGGUCCAGACUCCUACGGGAGGCAGCAGUAGGGAAUCUUCCGCAAUGGGCGAAAGCCUGACGGAGCAACGCCGCGUGAGUGAUGAAGGUCUUCGGAUCGUAAAACUCUGUUAUUAGGGAAGUACAUAUGUGUAAGUAACUGUGCACAUCUUGACGGUACCUAAUCAGAAAGCCACGGCUAACUACGUG
RNAcentral lists this ribosomal RNA (496 nucleotides) under uncultured bacterium. Its description in RNAcentral is "partial 16S ribosomal RNA". It matches the Rfam family "Bacterial small subunit ribosomal RNA", at positions 29 to 507 of the family's 1533-position model. The record is from RNAcentral.